Molecule: ribosomal RNA, 342 nt
Filed under: uncultured eukaryote
Lineage: Eukaryota
Description: bacterial SSU rRNA
Rfam family: Eukaryotic small subunit ribosomal RNA
Source: RNAcentral
CAAUAGCGUAUAUUAAAGUUGUUGCAGUUAAAAGCUCGUAGUUGGAUUUCUGGUUUGAUGCCCUGGCCCGCUGCUAUUUUAGUAGUGUGUGCCGGUUGUGCGUCUGCCAUCCUUCUAGGGAACGUUCCUUCUCUUCACUGAGCCGGGUUCGUGAUCUAGAUCGUUUACUUUGAAAAAUUAGAGUGUUUAAAGCAGGCUUUUGCUAUGAAUACAUUAGCAUGGAAUAAUAAUCUAGGACUUCGGUGGCUAUUUUGUUUUGGUUUUCGUUGGUAACGUGAAGUAAAUAGAUUGUAUAGGGAGUAGUUGGGGGUUGGGCGUAGUAUUGUAGCGGCCGACGAGGUG